This 394-nucleotide unclassified non-coding RNA is filed under the name fungal sp. Its description in RNAcentral is "partial internal transcribed spacer region". The stretch from base 1 to 46 matches the Rfam family "Eukaryotic small subunit ribosomal RNA", at positions 1786 to 1831 of the family's 1831-position model. The record is from RNAcentral. Lineage: Eukaryota; Fungi.
AAGUCGUAACAAGGUUUCCGUAGGUGAACCUGCGGAAGGAUCAUUAACACGUAUCCAAACGUUAAACCCCCCUGUGAACCUUCAGUCGUACUCGUACGUCCGUGAGAAAAAGAGCAAUCCCUGGUAAAUCAUCGCCGAACAGUUUUCGAUUCAGGCAUGUUGUGCGUGUAAGUGGCCUGGCAUCCCCAAGCAGUUAGUGUCUGAAAGUGUCACUAACGUUAGUGUCUGAAAGUGUCACUAACAUGUGUAAGGAUGACGCAGUCAGGCCGACGACCGGGUCACCGGGUGCAAGCCCUCUUCUCACACCCCUGCUCUAUCUAUGGUGAUCCUGCGGGAAGUCCUGCGGUCGAACGCCGAAACCGAACAACUGUUAACAAUGGAUAUCUUGGUUCUC